This 443-nucleotide ribosomal RNA is filed under the name uncultured bacterium. RNAcentral's name for it is "partial 16S ribosomal RNA". It matches the Rfam family "Bacterial small subunit ribosomal RNA", at positions 338 to 795 of the family's 1533-position model. The record is from RNAcentral.
CCUACGGGUGGCAGCAGUGGGGAAUAUUGGGCAAUGGGCGCAAGCCUGACCCAGCAACGCCGCGUGAAGGAAGAAGGCCCUCGGGUUGUAAACUUCUUUUGUCAGGGACGAAACAAAUGACGGUUCCUGACCAAUAAGCCACCGCUACCUACGUGACAGCAGCCGCUGUAAUACGUGGGGGGCAAGCGUUAUCCGGGUUUACUGGGUGUAAAGGUCGUGUAGGCGGGAGAGCAAGUCAGAUGUGAAAUUCCAGGGCUCAACCCUGGAACUGCAUUUGAAACUGUUUGUCUGGAGUGAUGGAGAGGGAGGCGGAAGUCCGUGUGUAGCGGUGAAAUGCGUAGAUAUCCGGAGGAACACCAGUGGCGAAGGCGGCCGGCUGGACAGUAACUGACGCUGAGGCGCGAAAGCGUGGGGAGCAAACAGGAUUAGAUACCCGGGUAGUC